GUCUUCAUGUUUUAUGUUUAUGAAGUUUAAUCUGCCCACUGAUAAUUAUUUAAAGGGCCGCGGUAUUUUGACCGUGCAAAGGUAGCGUAAUCAUUAGUCUUUUAAUUGGGGGCCUGUAUGAACGAUUGAACAAGAAAUAUUCUGUCUUAAUAAAAUUUAUUGAAGUUAACUUUUAAGUAAAAAGGCUUAGAUGGGUUAAAGUGACGAUAAGACCCUAUAAAACUUUAUAAUUUUUAAUUGAAAAGAUGCAUUGGUUGUUCAAUUUUUUUCAGUAAAUUUUAUUUUAUUGGGGCGAUAGAAAUAUAAAGAGUAACUGUUUUUAAUGUUUGAAUGAUUAUUAUUAGAGAAUUAAUGAUCCUUUAUUAGAGAUUAUAAGAUUAAGUUACUUUAGGGAUAACAGCGUAAUUUUCUUUGAGAGUUCAUAUCUACAAGAAAGAUUGCGACCUCGAUGUUGAAUUAAAAAUUCUUUAAGGUGUAGAAGCUUUAAUGGAAGGUCUGUUCGACCUUUAAAUUUUU
Molecule: ribosomal RNA, 516 nt
Filed under: Thysanopoda cristata
Lineage: Eukaryota; Metazoa; Arthropoda; Malacostraca; Euphausiacea; Euphausiidae
Description: partial 16S ribosomal RNA
Rfam family: Bacterial large subunit ribosomal RNA
Source: RNAcentral